RNAcentral lists this ribosomal RNA (386 nucleotides) under uncultured bacterium. RNAcentral's name for it is "partial 16S ribosomal RNA". It matches the Rfam family "Bacterial small subunit ribosomal RNA", at positions 355 to 730 of the family's 1533-position model. The record is from RNAcentral.
UGGGGAAUUUUGGACAAUGGGCGAAAGCCUGAUCCAGCCAUGCCGCGUGCAGGAUGAAGGCCUUCGGGUUGUAAACUGCUUUUGUACGGAACGAAAAGACUCUGGUUAAUACCUGGGGUCCAUGACGGUACCGUAAGAAUAAGCACCGGCUAACUACGUGCCAGCAGCCGCGGUAAUACGUAGGGUGCAAGCGUUAAUCGGAAUUACUGGGCGUAAAGCGUGCGCAGGCGGUUAUAUAAGACAGAUGUGAAAUCCCCGGGGCUCAACCUGGGAACUGCAUUUGUGACUGUAUAGCUAGAGUACGGCAGAGGGGGGAUGGAAUUUCCGCGUGUAGCAGUGAAAUGCGUAGAUAUGCGGAGGAACACCGAUGGCGAAGGCAAUCCCCU